RNAcentral lists this long non-coding RNA (590 nucleotides) under Musa acuminata (dwarf banana). Its description in RNAcentral is "long non-coding RNA (MACU_LNC000263)". The record is from RNAcentral. Lineage: Eukaryota; Viridiplantae; Streptophyta; Magnoliopsida; Zingiberales; Musaceae.
GCAUGCUCUAAUAGCUUACGUUGAGAAGACAGCAUCUCAGCGAUGGGAAGAUUCACUUCCGUCUUCCUCUCCUGCCUCUCCUUCCUCCUCUUCGUCGUUCUUCUCCCACACGUCUCUUCGCGGCCAGCGGCCAUGCCCGCUCGACGCAGCAUCGUCGGCGAGACCUGCAACCAGAUCGCGAGAGGCGAUCCCAACGUGGACUUCACCUUCUGUUCGCAGUCGCUGCGGUCGGCCGCCGGAAGCGACGGCGCGGACCUGCACGGCCUCGCCAUCAUAUCGCUAAAGCUGGCGGUCGCCAACGCGACGUCCGCCGCGACCCGGGCGAAGGCGCUGCUGAAGGGCAACGGCCUGAGCCGGUACUACAAGUCGUGCCUGGACGCCUGCCGCGAAGUCUACGCCGACGCCGCGUCGGAUCUCCGCGACGCCACCGGGAUGAUCAGAUCCGGCCGCCUUGUCGACGCCAGGGUGUACAUCAGCGCCGCCGUGGACGCGCCCGUCGUGUGCGAGGACGGGUUCCAAGAAGGUGGACUCGCCUCGCCGCUGGCGGAGGAAGACGGCGACCUGAUGCAGCUUGCUGUCAUCGCCCUCGC